Molecule: ribosomal RNA, 438 nt
Filed under: uncultured bacterium
Lineage: Bacteria
Description: bacterial SSU rRNA
Rfam family: Bacterial small subunit ribosomal RNA
Source: RNAcentral
AACGCGAAGAACCUUACCUGGGCUUGACAUGUGCCUGACCGCCCUGGAAACAGGGUUUCCCUUCGGGGCAGGUUCACAGGUGGUGCAUGGCUGUCGUCAGCUCGUGUCGUGAGAUGUUGGGUUAAGUCCCGCAACGAGCGCAACCCCCGUCGCAUGUUGCCAGCAUUUAGUUGGGGACUCAUGCGAGACUGCCGGUGACAAACCGGAGGAAGGUGGGGAUGACGUCAAGUCAUCAUGCCCCUUAUGUCCAGGGCUACACACGUGCUACAUUGGCGCGUACAGAGGGCUGCGAUACCGCGAGGUGGAGCGAAUCCCUUAAAGCGCGUCUCGGUUCGGAUUGCAGGCUGAAACUCGCCUGCAUGAAGGCGGAGUUGCUAGUAAUCGCGGAUCAGCAUUGCCGCGGUGAAUACGUUCCCGGGCCUUGUACACACCGACAUA